CCCAGCAGCCGGUAACCCAGCGCGGCAUUCAUCUCUAGCUCCGUCUCCGUCUUCUCCGAGAUCCAAACAUUCCGCAUUAGCCUCCCAGCGAUCCCGCGGCGCCCUUCAUCCGGAGCCACCUCCUUCCGUUUCUAGCCAUCAAGGAACGCGAGAUUCAGCCAUUCCCACGGAUUCACGCCCUUCUCCAGCGAUCCCGCAUGCAACAAUCAAGCCUCCGCGAGAUCAUUCCCAGCAUCACGCCCUCCUCCUCUCUCAGUGGAUCCAUCAAGGGGGAGAAUGGGUAUAAAGAGGGUGGCCAUCGGCUUUGAGAGGGGAG
RNAcentral lists this long non-coding RNA (316 nucleotides) under Phoenix dactylifera (date palm). RNAcentral describes it as "long non-coding RNA (PDAC_LNC010112)". Lineage: Eukaryota; Viridiplantae; Streptophyta; Magnoliopsida; Arecales; Arecaceae. The record is from RNAcentral.